CUCAAUGGCAAAAUACAGCAGGCUGCCUAAGAAAAAGGAGAAUGAGAAGGUAAAGACCGAAGUUGGAAAAGAGGUGGCCGCGGCCCGGCGGAAGCAGCACCUCUCCUCCCUUCAGUACUACUGUGCCCUCAACGCGCUGCAGUACAGAAAGCAAAUGGCCAUGAUGGAGCCCAUGAUAGGCUUUGCCCAUGGACAGAUUAACUUUUUUAAGAAGGGAGCAGAGAUGUUUUCCAAACCUAUGGACAGCUUUUUAUCCUCCGUUGCAGACAUGGUUCAAAGCAUUCAGGUAGAACUGGAAGCCGAGGCGGAAAAGAUGCGGGUGUCCCAGCAAGAAUUACUUUCUGUUGAUGAAUCUGUUUACACUCCAGACUCUGAUGUGGCCGCACCACAGAUCAACAGGAACCUCAUCCAGAAGGCUGGUUACCUUAAUCUUAGAAACCCAGGGGAGCCGUGGCUGGAGGUUUGAUCCAGGACCUGGACAACUGCUCAGUGAUGGCCGUGGAUUGCGAAGACCGGCGCUACUGCUUCCAGAUCACCACGCCCAAUGGAAAAUCG
RNAcentral lists this small RNA (555 nucleotides) under Pan troglodytes (chimpanzee). RNAcentral's name for it is "processed transcript". The record is from RNAcentral. Lineage: Eukaryota; Metazoa; Chordata; Mammalia; Primates; Hominidae.